This 492-nucleotide ribosomal RNA is filed under the name uncultured bacterium. RNAcentral describes it as "partial 16S ribosomal RNA". It matches the Rfam family "Bacterial small subunit ribosomal RNA", at positions 29 to 507 of the family's 1533-position model. The record is from RNAcentral.
AGUGAACGCUGGCGGUAGGCCUAACACAUGCAAGUCGAACGGCAGCACAGUAAGAGCUUGCUCUUACGGGUGGCGAGUGGCGGACGGGUGAGGAAUACAUCGGAAUCUACUUGUUCGUGGGGGGUAACGUAGGGAAACUUACGCUAAUACCGCAUACGACCUACGGGUGAAAGCAGGGGAUCUUCGGACCUUGCGCGAUUGAAUGAGCCGAUGUCGGAUUAGCUAGUUGGCGGGGUAAAGGCCCACCAAGGCGACGAUCCGUAGCUGGUCUGAGAGGAUGAUCAGCCACACUGGAACUGAGACACGGUCCAGACUCCUACGGGAGGCAGCAGUGGGGAAUAUUGGACAAUGGGCGCAAGCCUGAUCCAGCCAUACCGCGUGGGUGAAGAAGGCCUUCGGGUUGUAAAGCCCUUUUGUUUGGAAAGAAAAGCAGCAGGUUAAUACCCCGCUGUUCUGACGGUACCCAAAGAAUAAGCACCGGCUAACUUCGUG